Long non-coding RNA from Alosa sapidissima (American shad), 327 nucleotides. RefSeq lists it as uncharacterized. NCBI's taxonomy places the organism in Eukaryota, Metazoa, Chordata, Actinopteri, Clupeiformes, Clupeidae. The record is from RefSeq and is a predicted model, not a curated record. The transcript is spliced from 3 exons.
CUUCAUCUACAUACAUCGGGUCUGACAUCUACAAAUUAACUGAGGAUACAAAGUAACUAUAGGAUUAUUGGAACAUCGGCUAACCGAGAUGGUUUUUAUGUCUGCCACUGCAGCUGACGUUGAGACAACUCUCCUGCAAGUCCUCGCCUGAUACUGCCUGUUUCAGGUGCAACAGGGCAAGUCACAAUUAGAGGUUGGAUGAUCACCUUUGAGGGCCGUGUAAUCUCUGAGGGCAUCCCACCAACAUUUGCAUCGGGACUUACUGCUGUGUUUGCAAUCUACUACAUAUUCAACCUUCAGUAUCAAGAUGAGGCAGUCUGCACUCUG